This 261-nucleotide long non-coding RNA is filed under the name Phoenix dactylifera (date palm). Its description in RNAcentral is "long non-coding RNA (PDAC_LNC010154)". The record is from RNAcentral. Lineage: Eukaryota; Viridiplantae; Streptophyta; Magnoliopsida; Arecales; Arecaceae.
UACUUCUUAAAGUUUUUGAUUAAUUAUGCUAAGUUGUAUAGAUGCACAGUGAAAGUUAAACUUAGCAACAGUUUGAUGUAUAGAAUGUGACUUGAUUGAAUAUGCUUGCAACUAAAGGAUGUGCGGAUAAGAGUUAAGCAAGCAAUUUAUCUAAGUAAGUAAGUGUGUUAGUUAGACAAUGACAAGAGGCAUUACAAACACAACAAACAUAUAGUGGUUCGAUGCACCCCAGCACCUACAUCCACUCCCCAAGACCUCUUG